UGUUCACAAAUUUUGCACUAGUGGCCGUGUGGGGUCCACUAGCACAUAACAAAUCUGAUUUUUAUCCCAUGCUUGAGUUGGGGGACGUGUAAGACCCCCCCUUGGGCAGCAAAAUGUUCAACUUUGUUGACCAAAAGUUGCAUGCCAACUCAUUUUCCCAAUGCCACAAAUUGAACAAGAGAGAGAAGCUCUCAUCUUCACCAACUAGUGAGAGAGAGAGCCACGGUUUCCAUGGCAGAUCCACCACCAAAAACGGCCAGCUCUUCCAUUUCCUUCUCACCAAUAAGUCCCUAAAGUGUUCUACAUCAUUUCAACAUUUGCAAAGUUAAGAAACUUAGAGUUAGAAAGAGAGGCUCUCGGCUAGAGCUAGCCGAGAAUGGUGAGGUGAUGUUGAUCCCAAAAAUCAGUUUUCUUCCUCAAAUCAACUCCUCAUUUGGUGUACAAGAAUAUGUAGUAGUUGUUGAAACGAAACAAAGAAGUGUAGCACCUCAAUAGUAUUGAAGAUUCGGCCAAAGUGAAGAACAAGAUUGUAAGGAUAAGUGUUUUUGGGAAGCAAGUACAAGUUAUAAUACGACUAAACGCAAAAGGUACAGAUGCACAGUUCGGUAAUCCACCAGUUUAGGAUACCCUCUUCUGCAGUUUGGAGUGCUCCUCUUAUUCCGGAGCCUACAUGUUGGUAUAUAUUCAUUCGUUGCAUAUGUAUAUAUUUGUUCAGGG
Long non-coding RNA from Lycium barbarum (goji berry), 717 nucleotides. RefSeq lists it as uncharacterized. The record is from RefSeq and is a predicted model, not a curated record. Lineage: Eukaryota; Viridiplantae; Streptophyta; Magnoliopsida; Solanales; Solanaceae. The transcript is spliced from 3 exons.